This 358-nucleotide transfer-messenger RNA is filed under the name Gammaproteobacteria (g-proteobacteria). RNAcentral describes it as "AqS3 sp001750645 Standard tmRNA". It matches the Rfam family "transfer-messenger RNA". From Rfam's summary of the family: Bacterial tmRNA, also known as 10Sa RNA or SsrA, is named for its dual tRNA and mRNA-like properties. RNAcentral also lists the same sequence under 1 other name. Lineage: Bacteria; Pseudomonadati; Pseudomonadota. The record is from RNAcentral.
GGGGGUGUUCCGGCAUUGACAUCGGGACCGAACACGGAGGUGCAUGCCGAGAGAUCGCAGUUAGUUCUCGUUAAAAAUCGACUGUGAAAAGAUAAUUGGCAACUCACACCAGUUACAAAUGGCCGCCUAAAUCUCGGUCAUCCUGAAACCAGACCAGCCUGCGGGUCCGGCUUUCAGGUCGUUCAGCAGGCUCGCACACCGGGGGUGCCUGUAUCCGGCGUGUCAAAUCAAACCUCAGGCUCGCCGCUGGAACCCUGAUCGUUGGGUCGUCAGCGGUCAAAGCAAAAACGAAUCUAAGCAUGUAGAGCCAAAGUCAGAAGCCAGAUGGACGCGGGUUCGAAUCCCGCCACCUCCACCA